Molecule: non-coding RNA, 199 nt
Organism: Clostridium sp. BL8
Lineage: Bacteria; Bacillati; Bacillota; Clostridia; Eubacteriales; Clostridiaceae
Source: Rfam
AAGAACUGAUAACUUGAAAAGUCAAAUGAAAGGGUAACGCCUUGAAGGGCUUCUCUAAUACUCCGAAUAGCGAAGCUAGCAGUAAGAACGGCUUUGUUAUAAGCUCGGUGAAGUCGGCUGAGGUUAUCUCCUAACAGGUUAAGCUGAGGAACUGCGAACUAGAGGUAGUCGAGGAUAAUAUAGGCCGGGAGUCCAUAAA